GAUGAAGAACGUAGCGAAAUGCGAUACUUGGUGUGAAUUGCAGAAUCCCGUGAACCAUCGAGUCUUUGAACGCCAGUUGCGCCCGAAGCCAUUAGGCCGAGGGCACGCCUGCCUGGGCGUCACACGUCGUUGCCCCCCCAUCUACUCCUUCGGGAUUGCGGGGGGCGGAUGAUGGCCUCCCGUGCGCCUCGUCGCGCGGUUGGCAUAAAUGCCAAGUCCUCGGCGACGCACGCCACGACAAUCGGUGGUUGCGAAACCUCGGUUGCCCGUCGUGUGCGGUCGUCGCGCAUCGAGGGCUCGAAAAAAUUGCCGGGCUCCGGCUCGGCUUUCAACGCGACCCCAGGUCAGGCGGGGUUACCCGCUGAAUUUAAGCAUAUCAAUAAGCGGAGGA
This 391-nucleotide unclassified non-coding RNA is filed under the name soil metagenome. RNAcentral describes it as "partial contains 5.8S ribosomal RNA, internal transcribed spacer 2, and large subunit ribosomal RNA". The stretch from base 1 to 122 matches the Rfam family "5.8S ribosomal RNA", at positions 35 to 154 of the family's 154-position model. The record is from RNAcentral.